RNAcentral lists this small nuclear RNA (23 nucleotides) under Arabidopsis thaliana (thale cress). Its description in RNAcentral is "snRNA_14376". The record is from RNAcentral. Lineage: Eukaryota; Viridiplantae; Streptophyta; Magnoliopsida; Brassicales; Brassicaceae.
GAACGGUUAUUGAGUGGGAUUUU